Molecule: long non-coding RNA, 1069 nt
Organism: Cinclus cinclus
Lineage: Eukaryota; Metazoa; Chordata; Aves; Passeriformes; Cinclidae
Exons: 2
Source: RefSeq, a predicted model, not a curated record
GGGAGAGCCGCGGAGGGGAGAACCACGGCGCUUCCCCGCCCGGCUGCCGCCGCACAGCACCGCCCCGCGGGCGGCGAGGCGAGGCGCGCCGAGCCGAGCGGCGGGGCCACGGGGAGGGGGGGCCCCGCCGCUCGGUUGGGCGCUGAUCGGCUCGCCGGUACCCUCCGUCUCCCGGUAGAACCUGUUGCGACCCUCUCGGCUGGGAGCUCCGAGGGCAGGUGCACGCACCACCCGGCUCCGUUUUCUUUACGAGGCCGGUGGGUUGUCACCGCAGGGUUAGAGAGGAGCUGGAAGGAAGGAAGAAGGCUGGAGACGUGCGUGACCGUGACACCGGUUAUGUGAUAGCCCUAAAAAUACCUCUGAUGGACCCGCGGGUGAUUCUUGCCCAGCAGAAGCACAGCCGACGAACUGGGCGACGUUUGGGGGGUUUUCCCCUGCUCCUUGUUUUCGUGAGUUCUAUGGGCGGAUGAGUUCUUAUGCUUCGGAUAACAGAUGCCUUCGCGAUGAUGAUUUUCUGGGGGAGAGUGCUAUUCCCUCGGAGCUCUCCCCGUCCUUCUCCGCCCAACCCACGCACGGUCUCUGCUUGCGGGGGAGCUCCCUGCGGAGCGGGGAGCGCAGGUAAUGCCUGAGGAAAGCUCCAAGCGAAUAAAAUAAAUUCCGUUAGUGUGGUGCUUUUCUUGAAGCGUCUCCUGAAUGCCGGGCUUUCCUCUCCUCUACAACUUCGCCGCCAGAUCUCCGUCCCGCAUCGCUGCUCUUGCGACAGAACACGGUGCUUGCUCAUCUUCCGUGGGCUCUCCGUGGGGAUUGCGGCUACUCUUUGCUCCUUCUGCUGUGAUUGCAAGAAAAUAAAAAGAGAGAAAGAAAAUAAAAUAGUAAAGGGGGAAAAUAAAAGUUAACGAAAAUUACGUAGUUCGAAGACCGACGGUGUUGAGUGUUGGAUGGUUUUUCUGCGUGCAAAACCCCUGGCACAAGUGAACUCUUUUAGCAGCCUUUUAACUGGUCGUGUAAAAAUUGACUGGUGAUGGAAAGUAGUAAAUAGUGGAAAUAAAGGAUAGAUCUAAACUGUGAA